AGGAUGAACGCUAGCGGCAGGCUUAAUACAUGCAAGUCGAGGGGCAGCAGCUUUAUAGCAAUAUAGAGGCUGGCGACCGGCAAACGGGUGACGGAACACGUACACAACCUUCCUUGAAUAGGGGGAUAGCCCAUAGAAAUGUGGAUUAAUACCCCGUAAUAUAGCGGUGUGGCAUCGACACUGUUAUUAUAGUUUCGGCGAUUCGAGAUUGGGGUGUCGCGGCUGAUUAGGGUAGUUGGGACGGGUAAAGGCCCACAAGCCUUCGAUCGAGUAGCUGAUGUGAGACGUCAAUGAUCGAGCCCAGACCGGGCACUGGAAGACCGCCGGGCCCACUCCGACGGGAGC
RNAcentral lists this ribosomal RNA (345 nucleotides) under uncultured soil bacterium. RNAcentral's name for it is "bacterial SSU rRNA". It matches the Rfam family "Bacterial small subunit ribosomal RNA", at positions 26 to 348 of the family's 1533-position model. The record is from RNAcentral.